UACCCAUGUCCAGGAUGAAGGUAAGGUAAUACUUACUGGAGGUCCGAACCCACGCACGUUGAAAAGUGCGGGGAUGAGGUGUGGGUAGCGGAGAAAUUCCAAUCGAACUUGGAGAUAGCUGGUUCUCUCCGAAAUAGCUUUAGGGCUAGCCUCGAGGUAAAGAGUCAUGGAGGUAGAGCACUGUUUGGACUAGGGGCCCUUCUCGGGUUACCGAAUUCAGAUAAACUCCGAAUGCCAUGUACUUAUACUCGGGAGUCAGACUGCGAGUGAUAAGAUCCGUAGUCGAAAGGGAAACAGCCCAGACCACCAGUUAAGGUCCCCAAAUAUAUGUUAAGUGGAAAAGGAUGUGGGGUUGCUUAGACAACCAGGAUGUUGGCUUAGAAGCAGCCACCAUUGAAAGAGUGCGUAAUAGCUCACUGGUCGAGUGACCCCGCGCCGAAAAUGUACCGGGGCUAAACAUAUUACCGAAACUGUGGAUGAACCUCUUCGGAGGUUCGUGGUAGGAGAGCGUUCUAAGGGCGGUGAAGUCAGACCGGAAGGACUGGUGGAGCGCUUAGAAGUGAGAAUGCCGGUAUGAGUAGCGAAAGAAGGGUGAGAAUCCCUUCCACCGAAUAUCUAAGGUUUCCUGAGGAAGGCUCGUCCGCUCAGGGUUAGUCGGGACCUAAGCCGAGGCCGAUAGGCGUAGGCGAUGGACAACAGGUAGAGAUUCCUGUACCAGUGCUAAUUGUUUAACCGAUGGGGUGACACAGAAGGAUAGGGAAUCGCACGAAUGGAAAUGUGCGUCCAAGCAGUGAGUGUGAGAAGUAGGCAAAUCCGCUUCUCGCGAAGCAUGAGCUGUGAUGGGGAAGGAAAUUAAGUACGGAAGUUCCUGAUUUCACGCUGUCAAGAAAAGCCUCUAGGAAGAGUAGUACUGCCCGUACCGCAAACCGACACAGGUAGAUGAGGAGAGAAUCCUAAGGUGAGCGAGAGAACUCUCGUUAAGGAACUCGGCAAAAUGACCCCGUAACUUCGGGAGAAGGGGUGCUCUAUUAGGGUGCAAGCCCGAGAGAGCCGCAGUGAAUAGGCCCAGGCGACUGUUUAGCAAAAACACAGGUCUCUGCAAAACCGUAAGGUGACGUAUAGGGGCUGACGCCUGCCCGGUGCUGGAAGGUUAAGAGGAGUGCUUAGCUUCGGCGAAGGUACGAAUUGAAGCCCCAGUAAACGGCGGCCGUAACUAUAACGGUCCUAAGGUAGCGAAAUUCCUUGUCGGGUAAGUUCCGACCCGCACGAAAGGCGCAACGAUCUGGGCACUGUCUCAACGAGAGACUCGGUGAAAUUAUAGUACCUGUGAAGAUGCAGGUUACCCGCGACAGGACGGAAAGACCCCGUGGAGCUUUACUGCAACCUGAUAUGGAAUGUUUGUACCGCUUGUACAGGAUAGGUAGGAGCCGAAGAGACGUG
Molecule: ribosomal RNA, 1440 nt
Filed under: Listeria monocytogenes
Lineage: Bacteria; Bacillati; Bacillota; Bacilli; Caryophanales; Listeriaceae
Description: partial 23S ribosomal RNA
Rfam family: Bacterial large subunit ribosomal RNA
Source: RNAcentral